RNAcentral lists this ribosomal RNA (604 nucleotides) under uncultured freshwater bacterium. Its description in RNAcentral is "bacterial SSU rRNA". It matches the Rfam family "Bacterial small subunit ribosomal RNA", at positions 8 to 607 of the family's 1533-position model. The record is from RNAcentral.
AGAGUUUGAUCCUGGCUCAGAUUGAACGCUGGCGGCAUGCUUUACACAUGCAAGUCGAGCGGCAGCGCGGGGGCAACCCUGGCGGCGAGCGGCGAACGGGUGAGUAAUGCAUCGGAACGUAUCCUCUUGUGGGGGAUAACCCACCGAAAGGUGGGCUAAUACCGCAUAAGCUCUGAGGAGGAAAGCGGGGGACCGAAAGGCCUCGCGCAGGAGGAGCGGCCGAUGUCCGAUUAGCUAGUUGGUGAGGUAAAGGCUCACCAAGGCGACGAUCGGUAGCUGGUCUGAGAGGAUGAUCAGCCACACUGGGACUGAGACACGGCCCAGACUCCUACGGGAGGCAGCAGUGGGGAAUUUUGGACAAUGGGGGCAACCCUGAUCCAGCCAUGCCGCGUGAGUGAAGAAGGCCUUCGGGUUGUAAAGCUCUUUCGGACGGAACGAAAUUGCCUGGACCAAUACUCUGGGUAGAUGACGGUACCGUAAGAAGAAGCACCGGCUAACUACGUGCCAGCAGCCGCGGUAAUACGUAGGGUGCAAGCGUUAAUCGGAAUUACUGGGCGUAAAGCGUGCGCAGGCGGUUGCCUAAGCCAGGCGUGAAAUCCCCGGG